UGGGGAAUAUUGCACAAUGGGCGCAAGCCUGAUGCAGCCAUGCCGCGUGUAUGAAGAAGGCCUUCGGGUUGUAAAGUACUUUCAGCGGGGAGGAAGGUGUUGUGGUUAAUAACCACAGCAAUUGACGUUACCCGCAGAAGAAGCACCGGCUAACUCCGUGCCAGCAGCCGCGGUAAUACGGAGGGUGCAAGCGUUAAUCGGAAUUACUGGGCGUAAAGCGCACGCAGGCGGUCUGGCAAGUCGGAUGUGAAAUCCCCGGGCUCAACCUGGGAACUGCAUCCGAAACUGGCAGGCUUGAGUCUUGUAGAGGGGGGUAGAAUUCCAGGUGUAGCGGUGAAAUGCGUAGAGAUCUGGAGGAAUACCGGUGGCGAAGGCGGCCCCCUGGACAAAGACUGACGCUCAGGUGCGAAAGCGUGGGGAGCAAACA
Molecule: ribosomal RNA, 427 nt
Filed under: uncultured bacterium
Lineage: Bacteria
Description: partial 16S ribosomal RNA
Rfam family: Bacterial small subunit ribosomal RNA
Source: RNAcentral